GAGCUCUUCAGUCAGAC
Molecule: microRNA, 17 nt
Filed under: Corchorus olitorius
Lineage: Eukaryota; Viridiplantae; Streptophyta; Magnoliopsida; Malvales; Malvaceae
Description: hsa-miR-31
Source: RNAcentral